CGUUAGCGGCGGACGGGUGAGUAACACGUGGGUAACCUACCUAUAAGACUGGGAUAACUUCGGGAAACCGGAGCUAAUACCGGAUAAUAUUUCGAACCGCAUGGUUCGAUAGUGAAAGAUGAUUUUGCUAUCACUUAUAGAUGGACCUGCGCCGUAUUAGCUAGUUGGUAAGGUAACGGCUUACCAAGGCGACGAUACGUAGCCGACCUGAGAGGGUGAUCGGCCACACUGGAACUGAGACACGGUCCAGACUCCUACGGGAGGCAGCAGUC
RNAcentral lists this ribosomal RNA (272 nucleotides) under uncultured Staphylococcus sp. Its description in RNAcentral is "partial 16S ribosomal RNA". It matches the Rfam family "Bacterial small subunit ribosomal RNA", at positions 90 to 355 of the family's 1533-position model. The record is from RNAcentral. Lineage: Bacteria; Bacillati; Bacillota; Bacilli; Caryophanales; Staphylococcaceae.